RNAcentral lists this ribosomal RNA (417 nucleotides) under uncultured bacterium. RNAcentral describes it as "bacterial SSU rRNA". It matches the Rfam family "Bacterial small subunit ribosomal RNA", at positions 355 to 787 of the family's 1533-position model. The record is from RNAcentral.
UGGGGAGUAUUGCACAAUGGGGGAGACCCUGAUGCAGCAACGCCGCGUGAGUGAAGAAGUAUUUCGGUAUGUAAAGCUCUAUCAGCAGGGAAGAAGAUGACGGUACCUGACUAAGAAGCCCCGGCUAACUACGUGCCAGCAGCCGCGGUAAUACGUAGGGGGCAAGCGUUAUCCGGAUUUACUGGGUGUAAAGGGAGCGUAGACGGAUCUGCAAGUCUGGAGUGAAAGCCCGGGGCUCAACCCCGGGAGCUGUUUGGAAAUCUGUGGAUCUAGAGUGCCGGAGAGGUAAGCGGAAUUUCCUAGUGUAGCGGUGAAAUGCGUAGAUAUUAGGAGGAACACCAGUGGCGAAGGCGGCUUACUGGACGGUAACUGACGUUGAGGCUCGAAAGCGUGGGGAGCAAACAGGAUUAGAUACCC